This 496-nucleotide ribosomal RNA is filed under the name uncultured bacterium. Its description in RNAcentral is "partial 16S ribosomal RNA". It matches the Rfam family "Bacterial small subunit ribosomal RNA", at positions 29 to 507 of the family's 1533-position model. The record is from RNAcentral.
AUGCACGCUGGCGGCGUGCCUCAUCCCUGCCAGUCGCGCGAACAGACGAGGAGCUUGCUCCUCUGACGUUAGCGGCGGACGGGUGAGUAACACGUGGAUAACCUACCUAUAAGACUGGGAUAACUUCGGGAAACCGGAGCUAAUACCGGAUAAUAUAUUGAACCGCAUGGUUCAAUAGUGAAAGACGGUUUUGCUGUCACUUAUAGAUGGAUCCGCGCCGCAUUAGCUAGUUGGUAAGGUAACGGCUUACCAAGGCGACGAUGCGUAGCCGACCUGAGAGGGUGAUCGGCCACACUGGAACUGAGACACGGUCCAGACUCCUACGGGAGGCAGCAGUAGGGAAUCUUCCGCAAUGGGCGAAAGCCUGACGGAGCAACGCCGCGUGAGUGAUGAAGGUCUUCGGAUCGUAAAACUCUGUUAUUAGGGAAGAACAAAUGUGUAAGUAACUAUGCACGUCUUGACGGUACCUAAUCAGAAAGCCACGGCUAACUACGUG